ACGGCUCAGUAACACGUGGAUAACCUGCCCUUGGGUCCGGCAUAACCCCGGGAAACUGGGGAUAAUUCCGGAUAACGCAUAUAUGCUGGAAUGCUUUAUGCGUAAAAUGGAUUCGUCUGCCCAAGGAUGGGUCUGCGGCCUAUCAGGUAGUAGUGGGUGUAAUGUACCUACUAGCCGACGACGGGUACGGGUUGCGAGAGCAAGAGCCCGGAGAUGGAUUCUGAGACAUGAAUCCAGGCCCUACGGGGCGCAGCAGGCGCGAAAACUUUACAAUGCGGGAAACCGUGAUAAGGGGACACCGAGUGCCAGCAUCAUAUGCUGGCUGUCCGGGUGUGUAAAAUACACCUGUUAGCAAGGGCCGGGCAAGACCGGUGCCAGCCGCCGCGGUAACACCGGCGGCCCGAGUGGUGAUCGUGAUUAUUGGGUCUAAAGGGUCCGUAGCCGGUUUGGUCAGUCCUCCGGGAAAUCUGACGGCUCAACCGUUAGGCUUUCGGGGGAUACUGCCAGGCUUGGAACCGGGAGAGGUAAGAGGUACUACAGGGGUAGGAGUGAAAUCUUGUAAUCCCUGUGGGACCACCUGUGGCGAAGGCGUCUUACCAGAACGGGUUCGACGGUGAGGGACGAAAGCUGGGGGCACGAACCGGAUUAGAUACCCGGGUAGUCCCAGCCGUAAACGAUGCUCGCUAGGUGUCAGGCAUGGCGCGACCGUGUCUGGUGCCGCAGGGAAGCCGUGAAGCGAGCCACCUGGGAAGUACGGCCGCAAGGCUGAAACUUAAAGGAAUUGGCGGGGGAGCAC
RNAcentral lists this ribosomal RNA (796 nucleotides) under uncultured archaeon. RNAcentral describes it as "bacterial SSU rRNA". It matches the Rfam family "Archaeal small subunit ribosomal RNA", at positions 85 to 879 of the family's 1478-position model. The record is from RNAcentral.